AGGGCACCACCAGGAGUGGAGCCUGCGGCUUAAUUUGGCUCAACACGGGAAAACUCACCCGGCCCGGACACUGGAAGGAUUGACAGAUUGAGAGCUCUUUCUUGAUUCAGUGGGUGGUGGUGCAUGGCCGUUCUUAGUUGGUGGAGUGAUUUGUCUGGUUAAUUCCGAUAACGAACGAGACUCUAGCCUACUAAAUAGAUCGUCGGCUUACAAACGCCGGCGAGACUUCUUAGAGGGACAGGCGGUGAUUCAACCGCACGAAACAGAGCAAUAACAGGUCUGUGAUGCCCUUAGAUGUCCGGGGCCGCACGCGCGCUACACUGAAGUGAUCAGCGUGCUUUUUCAACCUACUCUGUCAAGAGUGGGGAACCCAAUGAACCUUCUUCGUGAUUGGGAUAGGGGAUUGUAAUUAUUCCCCUUGAACGAGGAAUUCCCAGUAAGCGCGAGUCAUAAGCUCGCGUUGAUUACGUCCCUGCCCUUUGUACACACCGCCCGUCGCUACUACCGAUUGAAUGUUUU
Molecule: ribosomal RNA, 519 nt
Filed under: uncultured eukaryote
Lineage: Eukaryota
Description: SSU rRNA
Rfam family: Eukaryotic small subunit ribosomal RNA
Source: RNAcentral